This 62-nucleotide small nuclear RNA is filed under the name Dasypus novemcinctus (nine-banded armadillo). Its description in RNAcentral is "U7 small nuclear RNA (ENSDNOG00000039936.1)". It matches the Rfam family "U7 small nuclear RNA". Rfam says of the family: Animal histone pre-mRNAs are spliced by a different mechanism than nuclear pre-mRNAs and self-splicing introns. This processing involves the U7 snRNP, which contains only one RNA species: U7. Lineage: Eukaryota; Metazoa; Chordata; Mammalia; Cingulata; Dasypodidae. The record is from RNAcentral.
UAGUGUUAUAGCUCUUUUAGAAUUUGUCUGGCAGGUUUUCUGGCUCUAGCUGGAAAACCUUC